This 460-nucleotide ribosomal RNA is filed under the name uncultured bacterium. RNAcentral's name for it is "partial 16S ribosomal RNA". It matches the Rfam family "Bacterial small subunit ribosomal RNA", at positions 28 to 507 of the family's 1533-position model. The record is from RNAcentral.
GACGAACGCUGGCGGCGUGCUUAACACAUGCAAGUCGAGCGGUAAGGCCUCUUCGGGGGUACACGAGCGGCGAACGGGUGAGUAACACGUGGGUGACCUGCCCUCAGCUCUGGGAUAAGCCUGGGAAACUGGGUCUAAUACCGGAUAUGACCUUUCCUCGCAUGGGGUUUGGUGGAAAGUUUUUUCGGCUGGGGAUGGGCCCGCGGCCUAUCAGCUUGUUGGUGGGGUGAUGGCCUACCAAGGCGACGACGGGUAGCCGGCCUGUGAGGGCGACCGGCCACACACGGGGAGAGAGACGGGGCCGAGUCUUACGGGGGGGGGAAGUGGGGAAAAUUGUGCGCAGGGCGCGGGAGCGUAGCGCCGCCGCGCCGUGGGGGAGGUGGGGGUUCGGGUUGUAAAAACCUCUCGACCCCGACGAAUUUGGACGGUAGGGGUAGAAGAAGCACCGGCCAACUACGUG